GGUUUUUGAUCAUGGCUCAGAUUGAACGCUGGCGGCAUGCUUUACACAUGCAAGUCGAACGGCAGCACGAGUGCUUUGCACUUGGUGGCGAGUGGCGAACGGGUGAGUAAUACAUCGGAACGUGUCUUAAGUGGGGGAUUAACGCAUCGAAAGAUGUGCUAAUACCGCAUAAUCUCUAAGGAGAAAAGUAGGGGAUCGUAAGACCUUACGCUUUUGGAGUGGCCGAUGUCUGAUUAGCUAGUUGGUAGGGUAAAGGCUUACCAAGGCGACGAUCAGUAGUUGGUCUGAGAGGAUGGCCAACCACACUGGGACUGAGACACGGCCCAGACUCCUACGGA
RNAcentral lists this ribosomal RNA (338 nucleotides) under uncultured Nitrosomonas sp. Its description in RNAcentral is "bacterial SSU rRNA". It matches the Rfam family "Bacterial small subunit ribosomal RNA", at positions 9 to 345 of the family's 1533-position model. Lineage: Bacteria; Pseudomonadati; Pseudomonadota; Betaproteobacteria; Nitrosomonadales; Nitrosomonadaceae. The record is from RNAcentral.